Molecule: long non-coding RNA, 230 nt
Organism: Gorilla gorilla gorilla (western lowland gorilla)
Lineage: Eukaryota; Metazoa; Chordata; Mammalia; Primates; Hominidae
Exons: 2
Source: RefSeq, a predicted model, not a curated record
GACACUGGCCUGAGACUGUCUGCAGUUGCACCGCAGAUCCUCCUGCCCGGCUGGCCCGACCCAAUAUCAGUUCAGUCAUCCGAUCUUCCUUGGGGAAAUACCCAUUACCGUCCUGAACCCUUGUCAUCCACUACUUGGCUAUAAGCUCCAGAAGUGACAAGACACUUCACAUCUUAAAUAUGUUUCCUAGUUAUAAUUCAUUUGGGCAGUAAAUGUUUGUUGAGCACUUA